CAGCAGCCACGGUAAUACGGAGGGGGCUAGCGUUGUUCGGAAUUACUGGGCGUAAAGCGCACGUAGGCGGCUAUUCAAGUCAGGGGUGAAAGCCCGGGGCUCAACCUCGGAACUGCCUUUGAAACUAGAUAGCUAGAAUCUUGGAGAGGCGAGUGGAAUUCCGAGUGUAGAGGUGAAAUUCGUAGAUAUUCGGAAGAACACCAGUGGCGAAGGCGACUUGCUGGACGAGUAUUGACGCUGAGGUGCGAAAGCGUGGGGAGCAAACAGGAUUAGAUACCCCUGUAGUCCCUGUCUCUUAUAC
RNAcentral lists this ribosomal RNA (301 nucleotides) under uncultured bacterium. RNAcentral's name for it is "partial 16S ribosomal RNA". It matches the Rfam family "Bacterial small subunit ribosomal RNA", at positions 509 to 807 of the family's 1533-position model. The record is from RNAcentral.